UACAGAGGGUGCGAGCGUUAAUCGGAAUUACUGGGCGUAAAGGGUGCGUAGGUGGUUUGAUAAGUUAGGUGUGAAAGUCCCGGGCUUAACCUGGGGAUUGCGCCUGAUACUGUCAGACUAGAGUACUGUAGAGGAAAGUGGAAUUUCCGGUGUAGCGGUGAAAUGCGUAGAGAUCCGGAGGAACACCAGUGGCGAAGGCGACACGCUGGGCCGUACCUGACGCUAAAGCGCGACAGCAUGGGGAGCAAACGGG
RNAcentral lists this ribosomal RNA (253 nucleotides) under uncultured bacterium. Its description in RNAcentral is "partial 16S ribosomal RNA". It matches the Rfam family "Bacterial small subunit ribosomal RNA", at positions 524 to 776 of the family's 1533-position model. The record is from RNAcentral.